Long non-coding RNA from Herpailurus yagouaroundi (jaguarundi), 734 nucleotides. RefSeq lists it as uncharacterized. Lineage: Eukaryota; Metazoa; Chordata; Mammalia; Carnivora; Felidae. The transcript is spliced from 2 exons. The record is from RefSeq and is a predicted model, not a curated record.
UUUCAGCAAGAAUAUAGCUAGAUUUAUUGAGAUAUUUACAAGUUCAGCCUCUUCUAUGUGUCUCACAUCUGAACCAUCUUUAGUCAAGAGGCUAUUAAGGACACAUUCAAAGUCUGGGGUGUCCAGACAAGAGGCAUCGGGGAGUGGUAAUCAAUUUGCACCAUUAUCAGGUUAUAAGCCAGAGAUUCUUCAGCCUCUAAGAGUUCUAGAAAUACUCCAUCUGGUCCACAGGUCAUAAUAGCACACCGUUUGCAAAGUAAAUCUCAUCAAACAGAUUCAGCACUGGGCUUCUGUUUACUCCAACAUCCUGAAGGGUGAUAUUGACCCAUUACUAUGGCCACUGCUCCUGCCAGCCCUUGCCAACAGAGGAGGGCCUCCACCAAGCUUCUUAGUGAUGUUGGUGCCCCAAGUGCCAGGGAAAACCUUCUGCAGCAUCUUCAAGCACAUCUUGACAGGGACAGACGGGCCCUAUCUACAGUACCAAAAUCUUCAGAGACAUUCAGCCAGAUAACCCCACCCAUAUUUCAAGGCCUCCCAUUUUCCCAAUCCUGUACAUGACCCUAGUAUUACACACCUAUAAUGGCUGAGCAUUCAAACAUCUCUGAAGCUCAGGACUCUAACCAUAAAAGUAUUGAGUCAUCUGAUUUUCCGCUACAGAAGACAUGGCUUCCUUGUAAGCCACCGCAGAGUGCUCCCUGGCCCUCACAAAGUAACAAGUCUUUACUGCUAGUUAA